This is a long non-coding RNA of Bactrocera neohumeralis, 734 nucleotides long. RefSeq lists it as uncharacterized. The record is from RefSeq and is a predicted model, not a curated record. NCBI's taxonomy places the organism in Eukaryota, Metazoa, Arthropoda, Insecta, Diptera, Tephritidae. The transcript has 2 exons.
AUGGGCUGCAAAUAUAAAUUAGAAAUUAUAGGUUAAAGAAUUAUGAUUUUUUGUUUGAUAUUUAUAUAUUGUUAUAACACGAUGUUGACCGGCUUUAUUCCUGGAAUUUGAUGAAAUCGACGCGGACGAUCUCUAUUUCAAACAAUACAGUGUGCCGUAAUAUGGCGAAAGCGUUACGCCAGUAUAACAACAACAACUAAAAGAACACCCUCUCCUAGCGGCUGCACCCCAUUAGCAUUCUGCAAACACACAUGCACACCAGUGCGCACACACCCUGUGCGAGUAAUUAUAGCAUUGCUACCGAAAGUGCCGCCAAGAAUCAAUGCAAAAAUAACAAUGUCCCACUUUCUGAGGCUAAAACACUGCAAUCAAUGAAGUAAUUAAGCUAUACUAUGCAAACAAACAAAUUGGCAAAGCAAACAAAUCGACGAAUAAAGUGAAAUCUACACACAUCCAUAUGUACACAAAUUAACGAGUGAGCUCUAUAUACUAACAUAUGUACAUACAUAUGUAUACCAAUCGUAUUUACUACAUGAUUCUGUAAGCAGUUAUCCUGCCAACGCGGGCGCAUGUUUCUUCCGAGGGGUCACCGGAAACAGCCGCGCAUUGGCCAAAAUUACAAUAUUUUUCUCAAAAAUUUCAGAAUUUCUUUGUAAAUAGUGUAUGUUUGUAACAAUAAAUUUUUUAAAUUCUAAUAAAAUAUUUCAUUUUUUAUAUGAGAAAAAAAUUUGAAA